This 206-nucleotide ribosomal RNA is filed under the name uncultured Pseudomonas sp. RNAcentral's name for it is "partial 16S ribosomal RNA". It matches the Rfam family "Bacterial small subunit ribosomal RNA", at positions 1179 to 1382 of the family's 1533-position model. Lineage: Bacteria; Pseudomonadati; Pseudomonadota; Gammaproteobacteria; Pseudomonadales; Pseudomonadaceae. The record is from RNAcentral.
AUGACGUCAAGUCACUCAUCGGCCCGUUACGGCCUGGGCUACACACGUGCUACAAUGGUCGGUACAAAGGGUUGCCAAGCCGCGAGGUGGAGCUAAUCCAUAAAACCGAUCGUAGUCCGGAUCGCAGUCUGCAACUCGACUGCGUGAAGUCGGAAUCGCUAGUAAUCGUGAAUCAGAAUGUCACGGUGAAUACGUUCCCGGGCCUU